Long non-coding RNA from Pogona vitticeps (central bearded dragon), 668 nucleotides. RefSeq lists it as uncharacterized. The record is from RefSeq and is a predicted model, not a curated record. Lineage: Eukaryota; Metazoa; Chordata; Lepidosauria; Squamata; Agamidae.
CCUAUGAUUUCCAAGAAGCACACCAAAAUCCCUUUUGAAGUCAUAACAGACUACAACCAGUUCCUAGUAAGCACAUAGUUUAUUUUAUUCCAUUAUAUCCUCUAGGGCCGCUUUACAUUACCUGGUGCCCUUCACCAGUAUAGCAACUAACAGGAGCUAGACUCUGCACAUCCAAAUGGUACAAGGACAGGAUGCGAUGGAUACACAGACAUCUAUCUAGAGGUCAAAAAUAACUACUUCCAGAGGCCUGAAAAUGGUCGAUCCAUUUUCUUCAGCAAGAACUGAAAACUGGAUAUUUUCUCAGACCCUAGGAAACCAGCACUAAAUGUUACAGAUGAGGUGUGAGACGCAAGGGAAGCUGAUGAAGCCUCCAGCAGAAGUGCUCCAUUGGAUCAGAAGUUUUUCAUGGAGAUGAUAAGGCAUGCAUCUAUGGAAGAGAGACACUGGAUCCAAACAACACAUUGAAUAUGUAUUGCUUCAAUACUCUUAAUCCUGAAAUAUGUUCAUCUACAGACCUUUAUAUAAUUAGUUAUAAGGACUGCCAAAAUAAGAGACUUUGCAAAUUGAAGAAAUAACACAGUGACUGAAAUCCUGUUGCUUAGCAUAGCUAAAGAGCACUGGAGUAGGUGCUGAAUCAAUGAAACUUGAUCUACCAAAUCUCUAAUGAU